Molecule: ribosomal RNA, 459 nt
Filed under: uncultured bacterium
Lineage: Bacteria
Description: partial 16S ribosomal RNA
Rfam family: Bacterial small subunit ribosomal RNA
Source: RNAcentral
CCUACGGUGGGCUGCAGUGAGGAAUAUUGGUCAAUGGUCGGGAGACUGAACCAGCCAAGCCGCGUGAGGGAGGAAGGUACAGAGUAUCGUAAACCUCUUUUGUCAGGGAACAAAGACUGGGACGCGUCCCCGGAUGAGUGUACCUGAAGAAAAAGCAUCGGCUAACUCCGUGCCAGCAGCCGCGGUAAUACGGAGGAUGCGAUCGUUAUCCGGAUUUAUUGGGUUUAAAGGGUGAGCAGGCGGUCUUUUAAGUCAGCGGUAAAAGCCCGGGGCUCAACCCCGGCCCGCCGUUGAAACUGGCAGUCUCGAGUUGGAUAGAAGUAUGCGGAAUGCGCGGUGUAGCGGUGACAUGCAUAGAUAUCGCGCAGAACUCCGAUUGCGAAGGCAGCAUGCCGGCUCCACACUGACGCUGAGGCACGAAAGCGUGGGUAUCGAACAGGAUUAGAUACCCGUGUAGUC